Jatropha curcas is the source of this 1282-nucleotide non-coding RNA. Lineage: Eukaryota; Viridiplantae; Streptophyta; Magnoliopsida; Malpighiales; Euphorbiaceae. The record is from RefSeq and is a predicted model, not a curated record.
AUUGUGUUGAUAUCAGAUCACCCAUGCAUACCAUACAAUGAAUUCAUUUCUGUUCAUCAGAAUUUCAGUUUUUAAGUUUUAUGAGAAACAUUUGGAUUCUUUUAUUUCAUUAGGUGGUCAGUUACCUCUUGACUACAUAGGACAGCAUUUGAUGCAUGAUGACAGAAUUUUGAGCAUGGAAUAUAUUUGCAUUUCUAUGGAUGAAAUAGGGUUAUUAAUACUGGCGAUCUCAUAGUUCUUGGUCUGUGAAGAUAUGUUGUUAGGUGCUCCAGUUUAUUUUCCUGUUGGGGCUUUCUUCGCCUUCCACCUAAGCUCCACAGGGAAGGCCCGGAGCCAAACCCUACGCUGCAUAGGGUCUUUCUAUACCGCUAAUAUAUUUCUGAAAAGUCGAAAGCUAAGUGAUAAAGGUUUUGUGAAAUCUUCUAAAUUGUUAAUGGGUAAAAGGAUUGGAGUUCGCGUACAGACUUGAAAUAGAUGAAUAAAGUUACAUGCAUGAAAUUGCUGUAUAUAUUUUUCACUAGUAAUUCAUAAGUUAACCUAACUCUUCUUUUGCCCCUUUUUAAUAGAAAUUGUGCGUUGAUUCUCUUUAGCGAUUCCAAUUAUUUUUCCAUGGUAUUUUAUUUCUUGUUUGUUUUCUGUUUUGUGUGUGCAAAACACAUGGAUGCACAAAGAAAGACACAAUGAAAAGAUGAAUCUUGAUGUGAUUGCAGUUAGAAUGUUGCUUAUAGGUUCACUUGUUUAGCUUUAAGGCAACUGUAGCUAAUGUGUUUUCCCCCUUCGGUAAUUUAGGUACUUGCCGCCAGAAUGCUUUGAGCUCACCAAGAUCCCUUUAAUAUCAUCGAAGGUUGAGAUGUCUGGUCAGCUGGGGUUCUAUUCUACUAAAUGCUCUUUGGCAGACGUCCUUUUGGGCAUGACCAAUCUCAAGAACGAAUAUUGCGUGAAGACACAAUUAUUAAAGCUCGCAGGGUUGAAUUCCCCUCAAAGCCUUCUGUCUCAAAUGAGGCAAAGGAUUUUAUUCGUCGAUGUCUAACGUAUAACCAAACUGAAAGACCAGAUGUUCUAACUGUUGCUCAAGAUCCGUAUCUUACAUACUCAAAGAAGUAGUGUACAAAGACAGAGAAGCAGGCUCGCAUGGGGCAGGAAGGUGGGUAGCUUCAAACUUGGAAAGCAAUUUGUUGCAAGAUCAACUUGGAAUUUUGUAUAGACUGUAAAGGUUUUCUAACUUUUUUUUUCCCUGGUUUUUCAGGCCAAGAGUUUAGUGCCCCUCUUUCUUUUGAGUAAA